This 107-nucleotide small RNA is filed under the name Marmota monax (woodchuck). The record is from RNAcentral. Lineage: Eukaryota; Metazoa; Chordata; Mammalia; Rodentia; Sciuridae.
GCCAGGCGCAGUGACACACACCUGUAAUCCCAGUGACUCUGGAGGCUGAGGUAGGAGGAUCACAAGUUCAUGGACAGAGUGGGCAAUUUAGUGAGACCCUAUCUCAA